Molecule: long non-coding RNA, 714 nt
Organism: Mercurialis annua (annual mercury)
Lineage: Eukaryota; Viridiplantae; Streptophyta; Magnoliopsida; Malpighiales; Euphorbiaceae
Exons: 4
Source: RefSeq, a predicted model, not a curated record
CCAAUUCUUCUAUUUUAAAAUUAUUGGGGACGAUUUUUCUUAUAUAGUAUAGUGAAUCUGAUCCAAAAUAGGGACCAAAAAUUUAGCUAAUAAACAAGAGAACUUAAAAAAAAUAGCAAUAUUUAAUUUUUAUGAGUUGUAAAGGGAAGAAAAGUGACGGCAAUUAGGUUUUUUAUUAGUAAAGAAGAGUAAAUUUCACAAUCUUCUCCAUCAAAUUCACCUGGUGGAUAUAAAUUUCCCAACAUGGAAAUCCAACAUCAAGCAGAAAAUGCUCAAAAUCUCCUCAAGAGUAGACUGUCCUGCUGUGUAAACCUGCUUUCAUCUUCAAACCUCUCCCCGGCUCUCCAGAUGAAAACUAUAGUUUUUAUGGAGAAGGUAUUGCAAUUAUUGAUGAACUUGUAGAACCGAGGCGUCAAUUAGGAGAAAUGACUAAUCGGAUACUAAUGCACGAAUGCCUCAAUAUAGAAUUCUUGGAAAGACUCGAUAGUAUGUAUAUUGGACUUCAGUUUACAUAUAGUCAAGUUGAUUUUGACAGCGUGUGAUUAGGCGGAACGGUGGAAUAAUUUUCAUGAAGAUUAUGAAUCCAGUUAAUGUUCAUUAUUUAUACAUUAUUAUCUUAGUGUAUUCUUUUGAAUAUUUUUUAGUAUAUUUAUUUUUAACAUGUAUUUUUAUGUUAGACAUAAUUUUUAGUUUCAGUGGAUUAUUGUUUGUUCA